AGCGAACGCUGGCGGCAGGCCUAACACAUGCAAGUCGAACGAACCCUUCGGGGUUAGUGGCGGACGGGUGAGUAACACGUGGGAACGUACCUUUAGGUUCGGAACAACACAGGGAAACUUGUGCUAAUGCCGAAUGUGCCCUUCGGGGAAAGAUUUAUCGCCUUUAGAGCGGCCCGCGUCUGAUUAGCUUGUUGGUGAGGUAAAGGCUCACCAAAGGCUUCGAUCAGUAGCUGGUCUGAGAGGAUGAUCAGCCACACUGGGACUGAGACACGGCCCAGACUCCUACGGGAGGCAGCAGUGGGGAAUCUUGCGCAAUGGGCGAAAGCCUGACGCAGCCAUGCCGCGUGAAUGAUGAAGGUCUUAGGAUUGUAAAAUUACUUUCACCGGGGAAGAUAAUGACGGUACCCGGAGAAGAAGACCCCGGCUAACUUCGUGCCAGCAGCCGCGGU
RNAcentral lists this ribosomal RNA (449 nucleotides) under uncultured bacterium. Its description in RNAcentral is "bacterial SSU rRNA". It matches the Rfam family "Bacterial small subunit ribosomal RNA", at positions 29 to 521 of the family's 1533-position model. The record is from RNAcentral.